UAGUCCACGCCGUAAACGAUGUCAACUAGCCGUCGGGCUCAUUAUAAGGGUUUGGUGGCGCAGCUAACGCGAUAGGUUGACCGCCUGGGGAGUACGCCGGCAACGGUAAAACUCAAAGGAAUUGACAGGGGCCCGCACAAGCGGUGGAGCAUAUGGUUUAAUUCGAUGCAACACGAAGAACCUUACCAGGGUUUGACAUCCUACGAAUUCCGAUGAAAGUUGGAAGUGCCUUCGGGAGCGUAGAGACAGGUGGUGCAUGGCUGUCGUCAGCUCGUGUCGUGAGAUGUUGGGUUAAGUCCCGCAACGAGCGCAACCCUCGUUUUUAGUGCCAUCAUUAAGUUGGGCACUCUAGAGAGACUGCCGGUGACAAACCGGNGGAAGGUGGGGAUGACGUCAAGUCAUCAUGCCCCUUANACCCUGGGGCUACACACGUACUACAAUGCAAC
Molecule: ribosomal RNA, 446 nt
Filed under: uncultured bacterium
Lineage: Bacteria
Description: bacterial SSU rRNA
Rfam family: Bacterial small subunit ribosomal RNA
Source: RNAcentral